UAGUCCACGCCGUAAACGAUGGACACUAGUUGUUGGACUUAUUCAGUGACUAAGCGAAAGUAAUAAGUGUCCCACCUGGGGAGUACGAUCGCAAGAUUGAAACUCAAAGGAAUUGACGGGGGCCCGCACAAGCGGUGGAGCAUGUGGUUUAAUUCGAUGAUACGCGAGGAACCUUACCAGGGCUUAAAUGUAGACUGACAGCUUUAGAGAUAGAGUUUUCUUCGGACAGUUUACAAGGUGCUGCAUGGUUGUCGUCAGCUCGUGUCGUGAGGUGUCAGGUUAAGUCCUAUAACGAGCGCAACCCCUAUCGUUAGUUGCUAGCAGGUAAAGCUGAGGACUCUAGCGAGACUGCCGGUGCAAACCGCGAGGAAGGUGGGGAUGACGUCAAAUCAUCACGGCCCUUACGUCCUGGGCUACACACGUGCUACAAUGGUCGUGACAAAGAGUUGCUAGUCUGCGAAGGCAAGCCAAUCUCAUAAACGCGGCCUUAGUUCGGAUUGCAGG
This 504-nucleotide ribosomal RNA is filed under the name uncultured bacterium. RNAcentral's name for it is "bacterial SSU rRNA". It matches the Rfam family "Bacterial small subunit ribosomal RNA", at positions 791 to 1304 of the family's 1533-position model. The record is from RNAcentral.